AUAAUGUUUCAAACUCACUAAUAAAACGAAUUCUGUUCUUAUCAGCUUAAUUAUCUGAUACGAGCCCUAUUUGGACCUCAUCGAUAUUAUCAUUAUUUUUGGCCCGAGACAGUGUGUCCUGAAGCUCGCCUCGGCACUGUCAAGGGUUGCCCUGGUAUUGCACUACCUCCAGGUGUGGCCCACCCGUC
Molecule: small nuclear RNA, 188 nt
Organism: Ornithodoros turicata
Lineage: Eukaryota; Metazoa; Arthropoda; Arachnida; Ixodida; Argasidae
Product: U2 spliceosomal RNA
Exons: 1
Source: RefSeq, a predicted model, not a curated record